This 289-nucleotide long non-coding RNA is filed under the name Homo sapiens (human). RNAcentral's name for it is "LHRI_LNC691.1". The record is from RNAcentral. Lineage: Eukaryota; Metazoa; Chordata; Mammalia; Primates; Hominidae.
CCUGGAAGACACACCAGGCUGAUCUCAUAGUUCUUCUGGUGAUUUUUAGUAUUAAAAUAUUCACUAAAGUCUAAUACAAUUGUUUAUUCAAGUUAAAACUUCUUCCCUAUUCCAGUUUGUACUUGACCUCAUCUGUAAGCCUACUGUUGAGCAGAAAAACAUGUACCAGUUACCAAUGCCAGGUGAAGAUUCCAACUAUCUGGAGGAUAGACAAGGUCAUCAUAAUGCCAGCCACCUGUAAUAGAAAUCCAAACACUUAUGCCCACUGUAUCUUAGUAUUGGAGUCGCC